Long non-coding RNA from Felis catus (domestic cat), 1107 nucleotides. RefSeq lists it as uncharacterized. The transcript has 4 exons. NCBI's taxonomy places the organism in Eukaryota, Metazoa, Chordata, Mammalia, Carnivora, Felidae. The record is from RefSeq and is a predicted model, not a curated record.
CAGUGCCUACCGCAGGAUAAACACUCAGUGCCUGCUGACUGCCUUAGUCCAAUUUCUUUGUAGGUACAUGAUCUUUUCAUAUCCCUCGCUCACGUGUUGGAUGCGUGAUUUUUUUCUUAUUUAUGUUAACGAGCUCUUUACAUAUUGUAGCCAUUCUUCCUUGGUGUCAUAUUUCCUGACAUUUCACUUUGUUCAACAAAAUUUAGGCUAUUGGAAAGUUUGUGGGUUUUGACAUCUGUUCCUUCCCCCCAGAACUGUCUUGGGAUCCAUUAGAGUCACCGCUUUGCCUCAAUUGUCCAAGACAAAGCAGGCAGAAGCCAGAAUUUGGAGGUCUACCAGUUGGAAUAAUUUAGUUGAUCUUGUCUCGGGCUCCGUCAGCUUUCCCUGAUGUCAUGGCUCUCCAGGGACUUGGCUCAUCGAAGCAUGUGGAAUAAUUCUUCCGAAACGAAGGACUCAGAAUCUGCCCGUUCUGGGUGACUUUUGCUUCAAACGAGAUAACCGUGUUUCAGAAAUCCCGUCAAGAAAAUUUGCAGGAACUUUAAAUCCAGCAAUGUGACCAGAGACUAGGCUAAGGUGACAGGAGGUGAGCACUGGGCUAGAGCGUCAGUCAAAAGGGAAGGCACAAGCGAUGCGGGAGGCAAAGACAACUCGUAGAACGGAUGGGUCGGACGGUGAGUGUGCUUAACUCUUCGAGAAACUUCCAAGCUGUUUUCCAAACUGGUUUGACUGUUUUGCAUACCCACCAGCCAUGUAGGAGAAUUCCAUGUGUUCCACACCUUGCCAAUACUUGCUACCGUCAGAUGUUUUAACUUCAACGUUUCUACAGGCGUGUAGUGGUAUUUCAUUGUGGUUGUGAUCGGCAGUUCUCUGCAUGUGAGACUGCACAUUUUGCAUGUGCUUUUGGGCCCUCUGUAUAUUUCUUUUGUGAAGUGUUUGUUGAAAUGUUUGCUUAAUUUCAAUUGGGUUACAUGACUCACUGAGUUUAUUUGCUAAAGAACUGUUAAGAAAUUUUGCAUCUGUGUUGAGGGAUAUUGGUCUUUAGUUUUCUUUUGUUGUAAGACCGCUGUCUGGUUUUGGUGUCAGAGUAAUAAAAUGAUUUGGAAGUGA